AGAGCCCGGAUAGCUCAGUCGGU
RNAcentral lists this non-coding RNA (23 nucleotides) under Bombyx mori (domestic silkworm). The record is from RNAcentral. RNAcentral also lists the same sequence under 4 other names. Lineage: Eukaryota; Metazoa; Arthropoda; Insecta; Lepidoptera; Bombycidae.